RNAcentral lists this ribosomal RNA (468 nucleotides) under uncultured bacterium. Its description in RNAcentral is "partial 16S ribosomal RNA". It matches the Rfam family "Bacterial small subunit ribosomal RNA", at positions 28 to 507 of the family's 1533-position model. The record is from RNAcentral.
GACGAACGCUGGCGGCGUGCUUAACACAUGCAAGUCGAACGGAAAGGCCCUGCUUUUGUGGGGUUCUCGAGUGGCGAACGGGGGAGUAACACGUGAGUAACCUGCCCUUGACUUUGGGAUAACUUCAGGAAACUGGGGCUAAUAUCGGAUAGGAGCUACUGCUGCAUGGUGGGGGUUGGAAAGUUUCGGCGGUUGGGGAUGGACUCGCGGCUUAUCAGCUUGUUGGUGGGGUAGUGGCUUACCAAGGCUUUGACGGGUAGCCGGCCUGAGAGGGUGACCGGCCACAUUGGGACUGAGAUACGGCCCAGACUCCUACGGGAGGCAGCAGUGGGGAAUAUUGCACAAUGGGCGGAAGCCUGAUGCAGCAACGCCGCGUGCGGGAUGACGGCCUUCGGGUUGUAAACCGCUUUCGCAUGUGACGAAGCGUGAGUGACGGUAAUGGGUAAAGAAGCACCGGCUAACUACGUG